UACGGAAGGCAGCAGUGGGGAAUAUUGCACAAUGGGCGAAAGCCUGAUGCAGCUAUGCCGCGUGUAUGAAGAAGGCCUUAGGGUUGUAAAGUACUUUCAUCGGGGAGGAAAAACAAAACUAAUAAUUUUAUUUCUUGACGUUACCCGAAAAAGAAGCACCGGCUAACUCCGUGCCAGCAGCCGCGGUAAUACAGAGGGUGCUAGCGUUAAUCAGAAUUACUGGGCGUAAAGAGCACGUAGGUGGUUUUUUUAAGUCAGAUGUGAAAUCCCUGGGCUUAACCUGGAACUGCAUUUUGAAACUGAAAUACUAGAGUAUCGUAGAGGGAGGUAGAAUUCUAGGUGUAGCGGUGAAAUGCGUAGAUAUCUGGAGGAAUACCUGUGGCGAAAGCGGCCUCCUAAACGAAUACUGACACUGAGGUGCGAAAGCGUGGGGAGCAAACGAGGGAUUAGAUACCCGU
RNAcentral lists this ribosomal RNA (458 nucleotides) under uncultured bacterium. Its description in RNAcentral is "bacterial SSU rRNA". It matches the Rfam family "Bacterial small subunit ribosomal RNA", at positions 340 to 789 of the family's 1533-position model. The record is from RNAcentral.